CGACCCUCUAAUUUAUUAGAAGGUCACCUAGCCAACUGACGUUGUUAGUGAACCAAUUUGUUCACAUAUUUUUCAGCCACUUGAUUAUUCAAGUGGCUUUUUUUCU
RNAcentral lists this small RNA (106 nucleotides) under Vibrio hippocampi. RNAcentral's name for it is "Qrr". It matches the Rfam family "Qrr RNA". Rfam says of the family: This family represents a set of small RNAs (the Qrr RNAs) that are thought to be involved in the regulation of quorum sensing in Vibrio species. It is believed that these RNAs, guided by a protein, Hfq, can mediate the destabilisation of the quorum-sensing master regulators LuxR/HapR mRNAs. The record is from RNAcentral. Lineage: Bacteria; Pseudomonadati; Pseudomonadota; Gammaproteobacteria; Vibrionales; Vibrionaceae.